Molecule: long non-coding RNA, 422 nt
Organism: Lampris incognitus (smalleye Pacific opah)
Lineage: Eukaryota; Metazoa; Chordata; Actinopteri; Lampriformes; Lampridae
Exons: 3
Source: RefSeq, a predicted model, not a curated record
GGACACAAUGGCCUACAUAAGAGGAGGAUGAUGAAGACACCUUGUCAGCUGCCACAGAGAGAGCAAUGCAGGAAAUUACAGUGAGGAAGAUGGUCCGUCCACCGCCACAGCACCACUCACGUCAGUAAGAUGUUGUACAGCAUUGGCCCAUCACUUACAAUGAAAACUAAGUAGUCAGUCCUGGCACUGUGAAAUUCAAUGUCAUUUUUGUGUUCCUAUUAGCUCCCUGUGAAACAGCUGUGCAAGGUGUAUUUAGAGAAACAAAUUGGAAAAUCUAAUUUAGAAAUGGACCACAUAAGGCUGCAGAUGCAAAAGACAAAAAUAGAAAUGCAACUGCUGGAACAUCAGUUAAAGGUGGGUGAGGUGCCCACAGGUGGAUGAUUUUACUUGUUUGAACUGUACUGCAUUUGUACUUGCAGGAA